This is a long non-coding RNA of Vidua macroura (Pin-tailed whydah), 382 nucleotides long. RefSeq lists it as uncharacterized. The record is from RefSeq and is a predicted model, not a curated record. The transcript has 3 exons. Lineage: Eukaryota; Metazoa; Chordata; Aves; Passeriformes; Viduidae.
UCUAGCUCAAAGACAAUUUUAUCUACAUUGUGUCUUUGAUGGCAAGCAUUUUGAAGCAAAAAGUCUACUUCUCUGCAGCAAUAGAAGGCACAUAAGUCAGCAGCAUGGAGACAUUAGUGAACAGAAUGAAGUACAUUUAUGUUCCAGAAGCUGUGGGUCCUCUCUUGCAACCUGUCCAUAAGAGUUCAGUAAUUAAUAUAAGACAGUAACUGUCUAGAAGUUGAGAGGAAGAUUCUGUCAACUGUAAAUGCAGGUACUGAGUGAUGCAAUACCGCCAAAAUACCUCUAUGUUUAAAUCAGUCUUGAUUUACACUUUCUAAGAGUUUAUAUCUUCUGAAUUUUAUGCUGCUAGUUUGAAAAUAAGAAGGAAAAGGUAGUAAAA